AUCUUCAGGGCGAGGUGAAAUUCCUCACUGGCGGUACAGUCCGCGACCCGUACUGCGUUAUCGCAGCCGGCUGACCCGGGGAGGCUCCGGGACCAACAGUAAAGUCUGGAUGAAAGAAGAUG
This 122-nucleotide non-coding RNA is filed under the name bovine gut metagenome. RNAcentral's name for it is "FMN riboswitch (RFN element)". It matches the Rfam family "FMN riboswitch aptamer (RFN element)". Rfam says of the family: The RFN element is a highly conserved domain that is found frequently in the 5'-untranslated regions of prokaryotic mRNAs that encode for flavin mononucleotide (FMN) biosynthesis and transport proteins. This element is a metabolite-dependent riboswitch that directly binds FMN in the absence of proteins. The record is from RNAcentral.